Molecule: non-coding RNA, 32 nt
Filed under: Rattus norvegicus (Norway rat)
Lineage: Eukaryota; Metazoa; Chordata; Mammalia; Rodentia; Muridae
Source: RNAcentral
UGUGGAAUUCUAAAACUCCCAUUUAAAUAGGC